RNAcentral lists this ribosomal RNA (227 nucleotides) under Escherichia coli. RNAcentral's name for it is "partial 23S ribosomal RNA". It matches the Rfam family "Bacterial large subunit ribosomal RNA", at positions 964 to 1191 of the family's 2925-position model. Lineage: Bacteria; Pseudomonadati; Pseudomonadota; Gammaproteobacteria; Enterobacterales; Enterobacteriaceae. RNAcentral also lists the same sequence under 1 other name. The record is from RNAcentral.
GGAGAAUGUUAUCACGGGAGACACACGGCGGGUGCUAACGUCCGUCGUGAAGAGGGAAACAACCCAGACCGCCAGCUAAGGUCCCAAAGUCAUGGUUAAGUGGGAAACGAUGUGGGAAGGCCCAGACAGCCAGGAUGUUGGCUUAGAAGCAGCCAUCAUUUAAAGAAAGCGUAAUAGCUCACUGGUCGAGUCGGCCUGCGCGGAAGAUGUAACGGGGCUAAACCAUG